Molecule: ribosomal RNA, 431 nt
Filed under: uncultured bacterium
Lineage: Bacteria
Description: partial 16S ribosomal RNA
Rfam family: Bacterial small subunit ribosomal RNA
Source: RNAcentral
CCUACGGGAGGCAGCAGUGAGGAAUAUUGGACAAUGGGCGAGAGCCUGAUCCAGCCAUGCCGCGUGCAGGAAGACUGCCUAUGGGUUGUAAACUGCUUUUUUACGGGAAGCGGUACCGUACGAAUAAGGAUCGGCUAACUCCGUGCCAGCAGCCGCGGUAAUACGGAGGAUCCGAGCGUUAUCCGGAAUCAUUGGGUUUAAAGGGUCCGUAGGCGGGCGUCUAAGUCAGUGGUGAAAUUCUGCAGCUCAACUGUAGAACUGCCAUUGAUACUGGUCGCCUUGAAUCGUUGUGAAGUGGCUAGAAUAUGUAGUGUAGCGGUGAAAUGCUUAGAUAUUACAUAGAAUACCGAUUGCGAAGGCAGGUCACUAACACGAUUGACGCUGAUGGACGAAAGCGUGGGGAGCGAACAGGAUUAGAUACCCUAGUAGUC